ACUCCUGCCCAACCCGCGGACGGUGAGCGAGGCCACAAAGAACUCGCAUGUCCGGAGCACUCGCAGCGACAUCAAUUUAUUCUUCGUCUUCCUAGGGCAGUUCAUCGACCAUGAUCUCGUCAUCACUCCAUUUGUUGAGGAUCCCCAAAAUCCCGGGAAAAACCUACGUUGUCCAAAUUGCAGCUCAUGGCUUCAGCACCCAGGCUGCGCGCCUAUCAACGUGUCGCCUCACGACAGCUUCUUCAGGGGACCUCGCGCUCCCGCUUGCCUGCCUUUCACGCGUUCAGCUGGUAUACCGGUCGUCGACUCGUCAGGCGUCGAGCGUCUAGAGAUCCUCAACCUCAACACUGCUUACCUCGACCUCUC
Long non-coding RNA from Hyalella azteca, 366 nucleotides. RefSeq lists it as uncharacterized. The transcript has 3 exons. NCBI's taxonomy places the organism in Eukaryota, Metazoa, Arthropoda, Malacostraca, Amphipoda, Hyalellidae. The record is from RefSeq and is a predicted model, not a curated record.